RNAcentral lists this ribosomal RNA (400 nucleotides) under uncultured bacterium. RNAcentral describes it as "bacterial SSU rRNA". It matches the Rfam family "Bacterial small subunit ribosomal RNA", at positions 79 to 507 of the family's 1533-position model. The record is from RNAcentral.
UUCGGUCCCUGAGUACAGUGGCGCACGGGUGAGUAACACGUGACUUAUCUACCCUCGAGUGGGGAAUAACUUCGGGAAACCGAGGCUAAUACCGCAUAAUACCCACGGGUCAAAGGAGCAAUUCGCUUGAGGAGGAGGUCGCGGCCCGAUUAGUUAGUUGGCGGGGUAAUGGCCCCCACCAAGACGGUGAUCGGUAUCCGGCCUGAGAGGGCGCACGGACACACUGGAACUGAAACACGGUCCAGACUCCUACGGGAGGCAGCAGUGGGGAAUUUUGCGCAAUGGGGGAAACCCUGACGCAGCAACGCCGCGUGGAGGAUGAAGUCUCUUGGGACGUAAACUCCUUUCGAUCGGGACGAUUAUGACGGUACCGGAAGAAGAAGCCCCGGCUAACUUCGUG